Molecule: ribosomal RNA, 253 nt
Filed under: uncultured bacterium
Lineage: Bacteria
Description: partial 16S ribosomal RNA
Rfam family: Bacterial small subunit ribosomal RNA
Source: RNAcentral
UACGAAGGGUGCAAGCGGUAAUCGGAAUUACUGGUCGUAAAGCGCGCGUAGGUGGUUCAGUAAGUUGGAAGUGAAAUCCCCGGGCUCAACCUGGGAACUGCUUUCAAAACUGCCGAGCUAGAGUACGGUAGAGGGUGGUGGAAUUUCCUGUGUAGCGGUGAAAUGCGUAGAUAUAGGAAGGAACACCAGUGGCGAAGGCGACCACCUGGACUGAUACUGACACUGAGGUGCGAAAGCGUGGGGAGCAAACAGG